GGAAUUUUGCGCAAUGGGCGAAAGCCUGACGCAGCAACGCCGCGUGACCGAAGAAGCCCUUCGGGGUGUAAAGGUCUGUCAGUGGGGACGAAAGAUGACGGUACCCACAGAGGAAGCAUCGGCUAACUCCGUGCCAGCAGCCGCGGUAAUACGGGGGAUGCAAGCGUUGUCCGGAAUCAUUGGGCGUAAAGAGUUCGUAGGUGGUUUGUUAAGUUAGGUGUUAAAUUCCGAGGCUCAACUUCGGUAUGGCACUUGAUACUGGCAGACUUGAAUGCGGUAGAGGUAAAGGGAAUUCCUGGUGUAGCGGUGAAAUGCGUAGAUAUCAGGAGGAACAUCGGUGGCGUAAGCGCUUUACUGGGCCGUAAUUGACGCUGAGGAACGAAAGCCGGGGUAGCAAAUG
Molecule: ribosomal RNA, 400 nt
Filed under: uncultured bacterium
Lineage: Bacteria
Description: bacterial SSU rRNA
Rfam family: Bacterial small subunit ribosomal RNA
Source: RNAcentral